CGACGACCUUCGGGUUAUUGGCCCACGGGUGAAUAACGCGUGAGAAUCUGCCCUCAGGAGGGGGAUAACGGCUGGAAACGGCCGCUAAUACCCCAUAUGCCGAGAGGUGAAAUGAAUUUCGCCUGAAGAGGAGCUCGCCUCCGAUUAGCUAGUUGGUGGGGGAGAGGCUCACCAAGGCAUCUUUUGGUGACUGGUCGGAUCGGAAGAUCAACCACCCUGGGAGGGACAGACAGCCCAAACUCCCUACCGUGGGGAGGAGAGGGGAAUUUUCCUCAUUGGGGGGAAGCCUGUCGGAACAAUCCCCCCUGGGGGAAGAAGGCCUCUCGGCUGUAACCCUCUUUUUUUCAAGGGAGAAAAUCUGACGGUACUUG
Molecule: ribosomal RNA, 371 nt
Filed under: uncultured cyanobacterium
Lineage: Bacteria; Bacillati; Cyanobacteriota
Description: partial 16S ribosomal RNA
Rfam family: Bacterial small subunit ribosomal RNA
Source: RNAcentral